CUAAGCUUGAUGACGCCAGCAACCUGUCUGACAGAUGUAAAUCUUGUAGUAGCUGUGCACGGCGAGCUUGAGCGGGGAGUUCUUUGGCGUGAGUGAGCAGGAGUAAGUAUUCUGAUUAAUUAUUUUGUAUAGUAUUUUAAAAUGUAACGCCAGUACGCCAUAUUAAGUUAAUUGCCUGCGAGCUUCUCCUCCUGUCUGUACGGUAAUGCGACAGAGAGUCGAGUGGUUAUGACGCAAUCGUUAGCCUAUUUUUACAAAAACUGUUUCUACGGGGCCAUAAUGUAACAUAGAAGGUAAUGGAGCCCUUUAUACAUUGUCGUGUAUCUUUAGAAAUAAAUAAUGGACAAAUGGAGUCUUUAAACGCCUCAGAUGUAAAGUUAUUCGCUGUCAAAGUGACGCCAAAAUGAAUGGGAGUCAAUGGGAAUGCUAACGCAAGUGAAGUUCUGCUACAAGAUGGCGGCACGCUGCCAACUUCAACUUCCGGUCGACUUCCUUGCCGCCUGG
Carassius carassius (crucian carp) is the source of this 504-nucleotide long non-coding RNA. RefSeq lists it as uncharacterized. The transcript is spliced from 2 exons. NCBI's taxonomy places the organism in Eukaryota, Metazoa, Chordata, Actinopteri, Cypriniformes, Cyprinidae. The record is from RefSeq and is a predicted model, not a curated record.